This 525-nucleotide ribosomal RNA is filed under the name uncultured bacterium. RNAcentral describes it as "bacterial SSU rRNA". It matches the Rfam family "Bacterial small subunit ribosomal RNA", at positions 777 to 1307 of the family's 1533-position model. The record is from RNAcentral.
AAUAGAUACCCUGGUAGUCCACGCCGUAAACGAUGGAUACUAGCUGUUUGAGCGCAAGUUUGAGUGGCUAAGCGAAAGUGAUAAGUAUCCCACCUGGGGAGUACGGGCGCAAGCCUGAAACUCAAAGGAAUUGACGGGGGCCCGCACAAGCGGUGGAGCAUGUGGUUUAAUUCGAUGAUACGCGAGGAACCUUACCAGGGCUUAAAUGUAGAUUGACGUAUUUGGUAAACAGAUAUUUCUUCGGACAAUUUACAAGGUGCUGCAUGGUUGUCGUCAGCUCGUGCCGUGAGGUGUCAGGUUAAGUCCUAUAACGAGCGCAACCCCUGUUGUUAGUUGCCAGCGAGUAAUGUCGGGAACUCUAGCAAGACUGCCAGUGUAAACUGUGAGGAAGGUGGGGAUGACGUCAAAUCAUCACGGCCCUUACGUCCUGGGCCACACACGUGCUACAAUGGCCGGUACAGAGAGCAGCCACUUAGCGAUAAGGAGCGAAUCUAUAAAGCCGGUCACAGUUCGGAUCGGAGUCUG